UCUACGGGGGGCAGCAGUGAGGAAUAUUGGUCAAUGGACGAGAGUCUGAACCAGCCAAGUAGCGUGAAGGAUGACUGCCCUAUGGGUUGUAAACCUCUUUUGUCGGGGAGCAAAGCGAGUCACGUGUGACUCAUUGAGAGUACCCGAAGAAAAAGCAUCGGCUAACUCCGUGGCAGCAGCCGCGGUAAUACGGAGGAUGCGAGCGUUAUCCGGAUUUAUUGGGUUUAAAGGGUGCGCAGGCUGAGGUGCAAGUCAGCGGUCAAAUUGCGGGGCUCAACCCCGUACUGCCGUUGAAACUGCAUCCCUUGAGUGCGCGAGAGGUAUGCGGAAUGCGUGGUGUAGCGGUGAAAUGCAUAGAUAUCACGCAGAACUCUGAUUGCGAAGGCAGCAUACCGGCGCGCAACUGACGCUCAUGCACGAAAGCGUGGGUAUCGAACAGGAUUAGAUACCCGAGUAGUC
This 459-nucleotide ribosomal RNA is filed under the name uncultured bacterium. RNAcentral's name for it is "partial 16S ribosomal RNA". It matches the Rfam family "Bacterial small subunit ribosomal RNA", at positions 338 to 795 of the family's 1533-position model. The record is from RNAcentral.